This 354-nucleotide ribosomal RNA is filed under the name Proteus mirabilis. RNAcentral's name for it is "partial 23S ribosomal RNA". It matches the Rfam family "Bacterial large subunit ribosomal RNA", at positions 1 to 392 of the family's 2925-position model. The record is from RNAcentral. Lineage: Bacteria; Pseudomonadati; Pseudomonadota; Gammaproteobacteria; Enterobacterales; Morganellaceae.
GGUUAAGCGAAUAAGCGUACACGGUGGAUGCCUAGGCAAUCAGAGGCGAUGAAGGACGUGCUAAUCUGCGAAAAGCGUCGGUAAGGUGAUAUGAACCGUUAUACCCGACGAUAUCCGAAUGGGGAAACCCAGUAUCCAAUGGAUACUAUCAUUAACUGAAUCCAUAGGUUAAUGAGGCGAACCGGGAGAACUGAAACAUCUCAGUACCCCGAGGAAAAGAAAUCAACCGAGAUUCCCCUAGUAGCGGCGAGCGAACGGGGAGCAGCCCAGAGUCUUAAUCAAUAGCAGUGUCAGGAGAACGGUCUGGAAAGUCCGGCAGUAAAGGGUGAUAGCCCCGUAUCUGAAGAUGCUGUU